GCCUAGCUGGCUCAGUCAGUAGAGCGUGUGACUCCUGAUCUCGCGGUUGUGAGUUCAAGCCCCAUGUUGGGUG
Molecule: transfer RNA, 73 nt
Filed under: Ailuropoda melanoleuca (giant panda)
Lineage: Eukaryota; Metazoa; Chordata; Mammalia; Carnivora; Ursidae
Rfam family: tRNA
About the family: Transfer RNA (tRNA) molecules are approximately 80 nucleotides in length. Their secondary structure includes four short double-helical elements and three loops (D, anti-codon, and T loops). Further hydrogen bonds mediate the characteristic L-shaped molecular structure. tRNAs have two regions of fundamental functional importance: the anti-codon, which is responsible for specific mRNA codon recognition, and the 3' end, to which the tRNAs corresponding amino acid is attached (by aminoacyl-tRNA synthetases). tRNAs cope with the degeneracy of the genetic code in two manners: having more than one tRNA (with a specific anti-codon) for a particular amino acid; and 'wobble' base-pairing, i.e. permitting non-standard base-pairing at the 3rd anti-codon position.
Source: Rfam by way of RNAcentral